Molecule: long non-coding RNA, 323 nt
Filed under: Anser brachyrhynchus (Pink-footed goose)
Lineage: Eukaryota; Metazoa; Chordata; Aves; Anseriformes; Anatidae
Description: lncRNA (ENSABRG00000014971.1)
Source: RNAcentral
UUGAGGUUUAACACCUAACCCUUAAUUCCUGGAUCUGAGUUUGGAAAUCCAUAAUUUUCAGCUACCUGCUUCCAGAGUCAUUGGUGGAAGAAUCAUUGAGAAACCCCAUGCUGAGUAGGACAGUGAGUCUCCUGAGAACCCUUCACAUACAGUGUUUUGGAAGCCUUUGAAAGGUGAAGAAUGGGUGCUUUCUGAAACAGAAGCUUUUACUUAAACAUCAUAGAUUUGCCUUGAAUAUUGACUGCAUGGUGCUCUGCUUAGACCUCUGCAUCCUGCUUGUACAAAAUUUCUACAGGUUCUGUGAGGAAUUCAUUCAAGCCUAA